RNAcentral lists this ribosomal RNA (476 nucleotides) under uncultured organism. Its description in RNAcentral is "partial 16S ribosomal RNA". It matches the Rfam family "Bacterial small subunit ribosomal RNA", at positions 330 to 797 of the family's 1533-position model. The record is from RNAcentral.
CGUACACUCCUGCGGGAGGCAGCAGUGGGGAAUUUUGGACAAUGGGCGAAAGCCUGAUCCAGCCAUGCCGCGUGCAGGAUGAAGGCCUUCGGGUUGUAAACUGCUUUUGUACGGAACGAAACGGCCUUUUCUAAUAAAGAGGGCUAAUGACGGUACCGUAAGAAUAAGCACCGGCUAACUACGUGCCAGCAGCCGCGGUAAUACGUAGGGUGCAAGCGUUAAUCGGAAUUACUGGGCGUAAAGCGUGCGCAGGCGGUUAUGUAAGACAGUUGUGAAAUCCCCGGGCUCAACCUGGGAACUGCAUCUGUGACUGCAUAGCUAGAGUACGGUAGAGGGGGAUGGAAUUCCGCGUGUAGCAGUGAAAUGCGUAGAUAUGCGGAGGAACACCGAUGGCGAAGGCAAUCCCCUGGACCUGUACUGACGCUCAUGCACGAAAGCGUGGGGAGCAAACAGGAUUAGAAACCCCUGUAGUCCCA